CGCCGGGCGGAGGAGUGGCCCUGCGGUCUCCCCACCCCUUUGCGCUUCCUACCCGGCUCGCGUCUGGGAGACCCCGGGAGUCAGGAUGCCCGAUCCCUCAGCGAUGCUGCGGGCCAGGUUCCUGGGGCAGCGACUGCUGGGACACCUGGGUCAGGGAAGCUGGGAAGUGUGGCGUCUGGAACUCAGUGUUAUUCGUCCAUUCGGGAACCUCUGGUCCCGGGGAAUGAUGGAAUGAUGGAAUGAUUUCCAUACACCCGACCCACUCCCCUGUGAGACCAGUGGUCUGUGUUACGUGCCAUAUGGUACAUGGCGGUGCUCAAGAAUCUUAAGGCUGUGCUGUCAGAUUAUUGUAGCUAUUUAGAUUUAAAUUAAAUUAGAAGUUCAGUGUCUCAGUUGCACUAGCCGUAUUUCAAGGUCUCCGUGUGUGUUUGGAGGAUAGUGUCUGGCUAGUGGUAGCCAUCCUCGACAGAGCAGAUAUCCCAUCAUUGUAGAAAGUUGUGCUGGACAGUGCUGCCUUAAGGCCUGUUGGGGCCCUGGAGGAAGAUUGUAUAGGUGAGUGCUGGGCAGUAACAGGACCUGGCCUGCCUGUCCCCAUUCCACCUCUCCCAGGCCUGUCCAGAGACUUAGGCCCAGAGGGGAUGCCUGCAGACCAGCGAGGGUGCUCAAAGAGCUAGCAUCAGGGGGAUCUCGAAGCCAUGGAACCAGAGGGGCCACCAAGAUGUUGCUGUCAUCAUCGCGUAAGAAGUCAGACCCUUAGGGAGAAGGGGCUUUUUGGCCUGGAAUCCCACCCACCUCUCUCCCCUGAUCAGUCUCCCUGUGGCAAAGUUGGGGCCUGACUCACAAUGCACUUGACCUCGAUGGCGUCCCCGAGUAGCGUUUGAUCCUUCAGGGUUCAGUAUCCCAAUCUGUCACCCAUGUGAUCCUGCCUGCCCUCCUCCCCGGGUGGGGGGCUGGGUGGGAAGGACGGCUGAGUGGGAGGACACAUGUUCACUGAUUCAGAGCACCUGCACUGAGGCAUCUCUUCAGUUUUUCCUAUGUGCCAUCUUAGCUGGGGGGACACAAUCUCCUUGUCGGGGCCCCACCCCAAACUCGCCAGUCACCUGGAGGAGGGGUUUCAGUCCUGCGUCCGAGACUCAAGAGGGAAGAGAACUGGGGUCUGAUCAGUCCUCGAGGCCUUCGGGUGGCCCAGCGCCUGCCCAGGUGCCAAGGGCAGAGUGCUUUAGAUGGUACUCCCAGUUUGACCAGCCUUUGGGGGGGCCGGUGGGGCUGGAGUCAGAAGACCUUCAAGAGGGCUGUGUGUGGGCACCCACACUAGCCUGCCCUAGGGACCCGCAGGCAGGUCUACCAGCCACCUGCACACUCAGGGUCCAGACAUCACCUACAUAGAGGCCUUCUCGGCAUCCAUUUCCUUCUUCUGUGGCCUAAGGAAGGAUUCUGACUUUCCUGGGAUGGGAUUCCCAUUUUUCCCAGAGUUCACGGGAGCCGUCCAAGUAGGUGGAGAUUCCCUGUCCCCCAGCUCCAGAAUCGGGCUUCUGAUUACGUCCAGUCAGUGACGCCUAUACCCCCAUGACUGCUUCGGGAAAGGGCUUGGGCUGCCAUGUGAACCAGAGAGGAGAGAGGGGCUUGGAAACCUCUGUCCUCUCCUCAUGAGCACAAAGGGAAGCCAGCCUUGGUUGGGCACAGCUGAAGAAACGGUCCUCGAAGAUAUUGCUGGGCCACUGGAUCAAACCAAACCUGAAGAGCCUCCAGCUUCUGGACUGUUCGGUUUCCUGAGCCAUCCAAUCACCCUUUGCUGUUGGAUAUUUGAGUCGACACCACCUGCCCACCACACCAUGGCCCAGUGGUUUUCAAAGCGUGGUGGGAACUUGGUAGCAAUGCACAUUCUCAGGAGUCCACCUACUCAGGACCUGCUGAAGCGGAAACCCUGGGAGUGAGACACAGGAAGCUGUGUGUUACCAUGCCCUCCGUGUGAUUCUGAUAAAAGAUAAAAACCUAACCAUCAUUUAGUUGAUCUAAAAAAUUCAUCCCGGAGGCCCCAGAGGGGGAAGAGGAGGAGCCCGAGGGUCCCCUUAGGGAGCAGGACCUGAAGGAGGCCUGCAUCGAGCUCGCCCAGGGUGUGCAGGAGUGGCAGGACGGCUGCGUCUACCGAGGAGAGUUCAGCAGGACAUGAAGCUGGGAUGCGGAGCAUUCUCUCGGCCCACGGGCGAGGCAAGUCGUUCCUGGUGCUCUCCCCUCUCCGGCCCCGGUUCAGCCAGCCACGGCCUGUCCCUCUCCUUCGGAGAGGCACGUGCUGUGAGCUCAUAGAUCCACCGAUGGGAAGGAUGCUAGGCAAAUGUCCUUCCUAUUUGAGAAACACCCAGAGAGACUUCUGAGAUCACGUCCGAGGUUCGCCUGGGUGUCCACAGGCUGCAGCUCGGGAAACUGACUUCAGAAGAUAAGUUCUUAUUCUAGGCAAAUAUUUUAAAAUUGCGAAUUACUGUCGUGAGUUGUAUAUUUGUAUUGAUGAAAUUGCCUUGUAUUUAAGCUCAAACAGAAAAAGUGGAUCUUCCUAAAAGUGAAAGUGCACUUUUGCGCCCCUGCAGCAGGCGGUGUCAGGACCUCAGUGGGGACUCUGAGGGGCCCGUGGCAGGAGCUGUUGGCGCCACCUGGCGUCCCCGCGAGGGUGGAGCAGCCGUGCGUCUGGCGAACCUGGGGGUAUGCUGUGGCCUGGGGGCUUAGUGCGCCUCCCCCAGGGGCAAGCUGGCUUCUGAAGGCUUCCCAACAAUGUGCUGCAGGUGCGCUGGUGGAGGAUUCUGCCCUGCUUGCAGGGUUGUGUGACUCAGUGGAGACUUAAGUGCAUCUUUUGCUUGCAGAUAAUAAAAACCGUCUGGAGGCACUGUAGGGGUGUGUGCGUUUGGGGGGUUGGAAAAGCAUCAGAGGGCAGGACACCUGGCACUGAAGCUCUUCUGGGAAGCAGGCGCUGGCUGGCACAACCUCCUAGGGGCUGUGUAGGGUUCCGGCUCUGCCCCUCUCUCUUCCAGGCUUGGUUCUGCCUGUGGGGCCCCGGUUCACCUGGUUUUGGCGCCCAAGGCUGGGGGACCUCGCCCAGCUCCUCACCUCCUGCACUUAGUCUCCCGAGUCCAGGGGAGAGCGGGGCAGGGAGGCGAGCGGGGGUCUUCGGAUGGAACCUGGGGAGCGGUGGGGGCAGGGAGGGGACAGCAGGAGCAGCGGCAGGCAGAGGCGGAGCUUCUGGGCCCCCAGCCCAGUCCCCCUGGAGUGCGCCCCCAGCACGGAGGAGCCUCCAGACCUCACGUGAGGACAGAGGCCGCGACCCGAGCCCGUGCUGAGCUUCUGCCAAAGAAUGCACGGCAUCGUGACCCCGAUGACCAAGCGCUGAUUUUUGUUCAGCAUCUGUUUCUUUAGUCCUUGGCUACUUCCUCUUUUACCCAACACUGUGGUGUCCAGUGGUCAGACAGCCUGUGUUCCCAGCCGUGGUAGGUUGGGGCCCACUGACCGGCCCUCCUGGCCCCGGGUCCUCGCCGUGCAGGGGGACCACAGCAGGUGGAGCCUCGGCUUUGUCACUGCCUGGGGGGACGUCUGGGUCCACUGAGCAGGUGCUCCUGCAGCCAUGGCGGCUCCUGAACCAGAGAGGCCAGGAGGACGAGAGGGCGUGCAGGCCGAGAGCAGCGGCUUUAAACGUGUCAGCUGUCUUUGAGGAACGGGCCCAAGCGCAUCAGUCCGGCUGGUCAGAUGAGGCUCCGGCACCGUGUGGAGGAAGGAUGGAGAGGUUCCUCCAAAGCUGCACCCUCCUGGGAGUGGACAGAAACCCUCUCUCCUGCAGGCGAACCGACGAGCCCCCGGGGGGGUGGAUUCUCCUCACAGUUCUACACAAAUGGUCUGCAACGUGGGACUUCUUUUCAGUUGGAUAGACUCUGAUAGGCCCCCCCAAAUCAUACAAAUGGAAUGAAGGUGGGCAUCAGAUGGGCUGUGCCCCGCCCGGCGCCUCACUGCUCAUUGUGUCCCUGCACUGGUCAGGAGUAGUAACUGGCAGGACCAGGUCCCCCCACAUGGGACUGGAAAGGACCCUUGUAGGCUGCUGUAACUGCAAAGUCCACCUUCAGGGCUCACGCAGCCUCAGGCUUGGCUGGGUCCAGGGGUUCCAGUGACUCUAUCAGGCCCUCUCUCUCCCAUCUCCAUGUGGACAGCCAAGUUUGACCUUCUGCCAUGAGGCAGAAGGGGGUGGUGUCGGUGUCACACCUUCCUGCAAGAGAGAAAGGGCCCCAGUGGACACUGGUGAGGCUCGGGGACGCGUCCCGUGGCCAGACGCAAAUCGAGGCUGGAGGCGGGCUUGGGAGCCUUCGCUGGGCCAGGCCUGGUCACGUGUGCCAGGGGCUGGGCUCAGUCCUCCGUCCACCUGCGGGGACUCGUGUCCAUCACCAGAGGAAGAGAAGGGGCGCUAAGCAGGCUGCAGUCACCGUCCCUCAGGCGCAGGGUGGCCUGUGAGCACGGCCGCCGGCCGCCUGAGAGCCCAGCCGCCUGCUUCUGGUGGGGAAGGCGGCUGUCUGACUCGCGUGAGAGUCAAGUCUAGUGACUGAAAAGUGCUCGGAAUGGACAUGGCGCUCUGAUUUCCUCCUGGGGCCCCAGUAGAGGGGCACCUGCACCACACUCACCCCCCCGCCCGGGGCUCGGGACCCGAGCACAGACGGCCCACGUCCAUGGCCUCAGGAGCGAGCAGUCUUAAGUUAGGGCCACGCCAGCGACCCCGGGGCUAGCGGCCCCCCACUCUCUGGGCCAGCCUGCUGACGUGGACCUGAGCGGGGGUGACGGGGUGAGAGCGGAGCCCGGCGUGGGGCUCCCGAGUGGAGACAGCUCCCGCCCAAACCCAGGCAGUGCCGACACCUCCCCAGACUCCCCCGCCUGAGCCGGGCAGGAGGGAGCGUGGCCAUCGGGGGGCCGAGCGCCUGGCACCCGCUAUGCGUGAUUCGGGUGACCCCUGGCACUUGAGGGGGGCCUGCUGGCCCGGCCCCCUGUGAGCCCAGUCAGCCCCGCAGCCCCUGUUCACUGUGGCCCAGGCCUGGAGGCUCAGCUGGGAGGGCGUUCUGGAAGGUUCUGGGGCGGUGCAGGGCGGCUCCUCCAGCAGCCGCUGCGGAGCUCUCUGUUCACAGUCCUGCCACGGGCAGCUCUGCCGGGACCACUGCCACGGCCUGGGCACGUGCGUGUGGCCGGAUGGCUCCAGCUGCAUGGGCACGCUUUACCUCAGCGCCUGAGAGGGCUACGGCACCACAUACCUGAAGACGAGGCUCUUCCAGGUGAGGGGAUGGCCCUGGUGUUCAGGCCACCGGACAGCAGCACAGGUGCUCCUGGGGAAGAUUGUUUGUUUGACGAGAAGUAGCUUUCUUGGUCUUAGUGAGUAUAAUAGUAUCGUCAUAAGGCACAGUCGUAAGAUGCGUGAAAAGAAAAUGAAAACAACAGGAGAAAAAAUGAAAGCUGGUCGCUGUUCUGCUCCCCGGAGCAGGGACGGGCUAGCAGCACGUUGUGUAUCCUUAGGUUAAACAGUAGACUCACCGAAGAUAUUUACCUCUUUACACAUAAACUGGCUCAGGCUACACUUACUGUUUUGAGACUUGCCCUUUUUCCUGGAGAAGAUUCCUGGUUUUGCAAAUAGAGACACCUCCCCCGCCCCCAUCUUACUCAUUCCAGGAAAAGCCCCGCUUCAGCACACAGAGCUGGAAGCUCUGACAGCAUAGAGCUGUGUGACAACCACCACAGUCAAGGUGCGGAACAGUCCCAGCAGCCCCGGAACGUCACCCGUGUGCCCUUGGAGCAGCUCUGUCCUCCCACCCCCAGCACCCAGCCGUUGCGUUUUUGCCUAUAAUUUUGCCAGGUCAUAAGACUGUCAUGUGUCUUCUUCUGCGUUUAUGGUUUUAGCUCUUACCUGUAGGUCUGUGUUUGAGUUAAUUUUUGUGUUUUUGUGUGAAGUAAGGCUCCCUCCUCCUCCUCCACGUGUGGACGUCCAAGUGUUCCAACUCCAUCUGCUGAAAAGACUCACUUCUCCACCGCCUAGCCUUUGCGUCUUUGUGAAAAAUCACAUCUGGAAACUAUAAAGCAUCAGUGAAUGUAAGGGAUGAUUAUUGUUCAUGGUUGGCUUUUUUUUUUUUUUUUGAGUUGUAGGAAAACUUAGCAAUUGCCUGAUCCUUGGAUUCUGAACCUGGGCACCCUGGAUGGGAGGCGCAUAUUCCCAAACUCCCUGAAAUUGUGUGCAAAAAUUAGUGGGAAUGGGCAUUUUAGGGGAAUGAGGAUCCAUCGCCAGCAAGUUUUCAGAGGGGGCUGUGACCCAGGACAGUUAAGAACCACAAUUCCUUUGCCACGAGGAGGAAACUGAGGCCUAGAUGUCAUUUGGGACCCGUCGCAGCCAAUUUGAAAUCUCUGUUGAAUCCCUGGGAUAUGUGAGCUGUUCUCUGCAUAUUCAGGGUAACGACACUCCACUGUUUGGCUUCUAUUCUGAGUCUUUUCCCCAUGGGUCGCCUGAGGGGUGGUUGACGCACAUGGUACGGUGGCCCCCAAUAUAAAGGAGCUGAAAGAAGGAGCGGAUGUGUUCUCUAGGAUCACGAAGCCUGUUUAAUCUUUGGGCCAACAGCUUAUGUUCUGGUGCCUGACUACCUUCCUGACUGUCUCACUGACCAUUUUCCACGACCACCGUUGCCAUCGUUCCUCCUGUUUUGUAUUCUUAGUUUGUGUGGUUGGCAGUGAGCAGGCUUAGUUUUAAAUGGUGCUGCCAAGUCCAGCUAAUUAAUGGUGCAGGUGGGUUUUAGCAAGCUGGCUGACUGGGCAAACUGAGCCAGGCAUGGAAUUCCUGAAGAUGUUUGGGGGUUCGUCUUUAUUAAUCGAAGGUUAACAUUCUCUGACAACUUUUGUUAGAACUUCUGCUGAACCUCAAGAUCAGUAGGUUGCAAGUGUUUCAAACCUUCACUUUUUCCCGGCCUGCUUUGUGUAUUCGCUUUGCUUGCAAGUGUGUUUACUCAGAUGGCCAAAAGGCCCGUCCGUGCUUCUUUGUUCAUUGUCAGCUGCUUUUAUCAAAUUCCAGGCCAUUAUCCAGCAAACACUAGAGAAAUUUGAACACUUGGAUUUCAAACAUUUUUUUCAGUUUGUGGAGUGGUGCUACCAGUGGUACCGUUCUAAGCAAGCAGGCACAAAGCCACGUAAGUGUUUUGUCUGUUUAGGUAUUAGCCGGUUCUGCUCUUUCAUACAAACAUCUGGAAAAAAUCCAUUGACUGUUCUCUUUACCUAGAGGGCGGAGACAAAGGAUUUCGGUUCCAGAGAAGUGACUGUUUUGGAGAAAAAUGUGUUGGUCUUUUAGCUCCUUUGUAAUUAAAUCUGGAUGUACCUCAGAAGAAUCUUAAGACUGUGUUGAUAAGAUGCUUUCCUCAGGAGAAAGGAGGAAAAAAGCAACUGGAACUCAAAGCUUGAAGUUCUGUGACAAAACAUGAGCUGUCCAGGAUAGGAGGUUGACAGGGUUUCACUACAGCGCUCUGCUCUCGCUGGAACAGAUGUCCUUCAGUGUAGUCACGGCGUGGACUCCAGAUUUCCAGAUUUUCAAGAACUGGAUCAGGGACCUGGAAGAGAUUAUCAAAGUGUGACGGGAACUUGGGAGCUGGAUUUUUUUAUAUUUGAAUUUGGGGACUGUUGUCCUUGCUUUGAGAAAAGAGACAAUGACAGCAAGCACUGCCGCCAGCGCUGUUACUGGGAAUUCGGAGACCUGAGUUUUCGCCAGACGCUCAGUGCAGACUCUGGCGAUGCUCCGCCCAAGGUGAACUCCGCCUGCAGAUGUGGCCCCUGGACUUUCGCCCAUGGUGAUUCUGCCACCUUACUACUGAAGAAGGCGUCAUUCCAGUGGACCACGUGACCCAGGAGGCAUCCAGCGAAUCAUGAUGUGGCCUUCACCUCCACUCCCGUCCUGUUCUCCCCGGAUCCAGCACAGCCCUUUGCAGGGAAGUCAACUCCUCAAGCCAAAUAGCUGAAGCUAUUUUAUCAACAAAGGCUCCAUUUCUUCCAUGAGCGUGCGUUUUGUUUCUUCAGUUAAAGCCUCAGAGACACACAAUACAUUUGGGCCAGGGGAUGUUUAGUUGUCAGCGCUGUCUGAAGAAUGGCAGCGUCUUUUUGAGAACCACAUCGGACCAUGCCCCACUAUCUUAAAAGACUGAAAUUCAGGCAAUAUCUAACCUGCACCCCAUUCUUUUCCCGUGUCAGAUCUGUAGUAGCCUGCUGAAUGAGUAAGCAGAUGUUCUGACCCACUGGGAUUAAAAGAAGGGCACAGUGAACUCCCAGCAUCUUCUUUGAGAUUACUCAGGAACCAGAACUUUUCACACAAAUGGAAGAAAUUCUACCAAGGAAUCCGUUUACCUAACAGCAUCUCACAAAGCUCCAAUCAGAUUCCAGAAAACGCCUCUUGAUACAUCCAGCGCUUUGUGAACAACUUAUUUUUGUUGUUAAACCAAUUAGAUCGUGGGUUUUCCAAAGUCUUUGUGGCCAUGAAGCCCUUCAAGUGAAAACUUUAUGGAAGCCCAGAGUAAAAGUGAAGCUGCUCUGGAGGAAGCAGAAGUGGGGGCCUACAACCUGCCACAAGCAUCUUACUUUACCACCAUGGUGACAUCUAAGGAGACUUCUUUACAGCAACUAGAAUUCUUCAGAACACAGUUUGAAAACCACUGCCCUAGACAACAGUAUGUUCGACCUGAAUGGCAUUCUGUCCUGUACCUGUACCCAGCACCGUCCAUGUUCAGUUGAUGCUGAACAUUCUUAGGAAUAGUUACCGUGGGCAAACUCAGAAAAGUGCAGGAAGAUGGGCAUACCUUUGCCCCCCAGAGUAGUCAUAUGGGCUGAAGAGGUGGUAUCAAAUGGACCUAGAGUAAUAGCCCUCUACCCACAGAUGGACUGCCAGUGAUUCCUGGAUUUGAUAUAGCCAGAGAGCAAUUCAUCUAUACUCUACACUGACAAACCCCCUUACCCAGCUUCUUUCACAAACGCCAGAGGCUCUAGUGGUGCUUGAAACACAUGACCUUGAAGUCUUGAUCCUUCUUGGAUACGUGAAUCACCAGGUAUUGGAGCUGACGUUGAUGCUGAUGUCUCAUUGAAGCCAUAUUAGACCAACUGUACGUUGGACCUCCCGUCCUCAGCCAUGGUACUCUACUUCGUGUGCAAGGGUUAACCAUAAACUAUGAAAGCAGAAUUCAAAGACUGGCAACAUUACCUGAAAGGGUACCAGGUCAUUAUUCAUCUUCUCAAACUAUGUCACUAUCACUCCACCAGUGGCAGUUACACUUCUUGGUUUUUAUUCAGUUUAACUGCUGUUUCCAGGGUGAAUGAGCUAAUAACGGUUGAAAAAUCGCUAAAACAUUUCCUCCAUCACUGGCAUAUCUGCCUAUUCUCCAAAAUUAUGAAUACUCAGCUCUACCUACAUGUAAUACCUGAGCCACAAGAGACAAUCUCUGAACAUCCUUUCUCGUGUGUGUGAUUUAAAAUGUGGCCAUUUCGAACAUUUUCUUCCAGCCAAUGAGAGAUUUUAAGAUGGAUCUUUUGAUGUCUGGUGCCAUUAACUGUUGGUGUUAAUGAUGUUUGGAGGUAGGCCUUUUGACCAGGCCGUGGUAGCUUACUUGGGGGGCAUCUCACAUUGCGUAUCAUCUGCCUUUUUGCUGGAAAUGGAGACUGACUUGAAAUCUACAAAGCCUGCAGCUAAACAUUUUAUCAGUACUCACGAGCUUCCUGCUGGUGCUUCCUAAUGUCACAAGACCGCAGUCCCCUGUCCUUGUGGAUGUUUUCAUGGAAUUUCAUCUGUCUCAGUGCUGUGAAUCAGAGUGGCUGACUUCAUUCCUUGUCAUGGAAUACUCUCAGGCAUGAAGACAGCUUACCUGUUCAGAAGGGAUCUGACUCACGAACUCCCAGACCAGGUCACGCAGACUUCGAUUUGUGCCACGGGAAAAGCCACGCUGCUUUACUUCAGUGUCGACUUGAGGACCCGCUGUCCUCAGCUGCUUCAAUGAAUGCGCUGGUUAAAUGUCGGAAAUGCUUCUUUACGUCUUCGUCUCUUAUCUUCUAGGCUAAUUGUGAUUCUAUGACUCUGUAUAAAUCAGUCUAUAAAUCACCAAACAAGGCCUAAGUCUGGUUACUCUGUACUGCUCACCCUCAACAAAUAAAAUCUGAUGACUAGCCUGCUUGUAUAUACAACUGUUAUUUGUAAUGAAGAAGUUAUCUACAAGCUCAGUUCUUCUACUGCCUUCAAAGUGUCAGCUCGAUUUUCUUUUUCUCCUAUACUUGACCGAUAGAGACCUUGAUCUACACUGGCAGUCAUUCCCUGUAAUCCUGUCAAAAUGAGGGACGAAAGGUAAAGACGAUCGUCUGUUCAAGAGUGUGAAGUACACUGUGUAUAAGAAUUGAUGGUGGAAAAAGCGUAAACUUCCAACCUAGUAUCUUACUAUCUCCACGCCUCAGAUCUCAUCUUUCAGCAGUACCAUUCAACCAGUCUGAGGCCUUCACUUGUUGAUGAGAUGAUUCUCAGAGUUGGGCUGAGUUACAGAAGAUGGAGACUUGAUUACCAAAGAAAGUAGGGCCAACCUUUCUCUCCCAACCCUAUCGCUCCCAGAUAUAGAAUGGGCUUCUAAACAGAGCCGCAAGUCUGGAUUAAGGAGAUAGCCUUCUCCUGCGCUGAAGGUUCUUGGGCAGAUGAGCAGGAAAAUGAAAGUUGCUGUACCUGACUGGCCCUUUAAGAUCCAGUUAAUCCAUAAACCCUGUGGACUAACCCUGGAGUACUCAGGGUUGAAACUAAUGUACAGAGCUCUGAUAUUAAACUGCCUGUUCUUCUAGCUCAUGGGCUGCCUAUUGACAUGGCUGGCCCUGCUGAAAGUACCUUACCUACUUGCCUGUUUACCUGACUCAGCCCUUGCCUGCUUUUUUGACAUGGCUGCAAUCAGACUGGCUGUCUUGAGAAGACUACAGCUGAUCUCGGUCUUUCUUAUACCCGGUUCCACCAAGGGGUUCUGAACAGAGCAGUCUGCACCUCACCCACCAGGACUUAAUGUUCACAACACGAAGGACUGUGCUGUAUACUCCUUGACCAGCAGCUUUUUUUUUUUUUAACUGCCGAGUAAGCCUCUAUGCCUAUAUAUAUUAGAUCAUCUUCAGCACUUGGGACUCUUUCCACCAGAUCUGAAGGAGUAGAGCAGAUUGAAAUCACUGUCCAUUCCUCUCUUCUACAGUAAUACAGAGAUGAAUCUGAUUUGCCAGUACUCACAGAAAUGUACCAGUUCAACUUGGCAAAAGCCUUAAAGGAACAUAAGAGGACUUUCCCGCUGAGCUUAAAAUUUACCCCUGACUUGAUGAGUAUCACAGAACCAUUUGCCAGUGGGAGGCUGGUUGUCCUGCUGCCUGUCAGCAAGACAGUUGGGCUCUCAAACUCAUGACCACUGAGUUUACUUACACUGGAACUGUAUAGUAUCUCCCAGAAUAUGCUAUUGGACGUGAUUAUUACAUUCAAGUGGAUUACAAGCCUCCUGAGUAGAAGACAAACUUGCUCCUUGUGAUUUUUUCCAGAUACAUUUAUUGUCAAGGGAGGAACCAAUGCCAGCUGUUACCAUUCAACUCUAUGAGCAGACAUGAAACUUUUUCAAUAUCUGGUCUUCCCAGUGACCAGAUCAAUCAGCACAGUCCAUCUCCUUGACCAUAGUGAUUGGUUCAGGAAUGGUCAUGUAAUUCAAGUUGGUCCAGUGAUACCCAACCCUGAGAGGUUUAGUGAACUGUGGAGGAGAAGCUCAGAAGCUCUGCUAAGUUUGCCUAGCUCUGUAGGAUGAAAAGCUCAAACCAUAUCUAAUGAACCACUCAAAGAAUGAAGCCAGUACAGAGGAAAGCAGAGCCAAAUGAUGGAGAGACUUGGGUCCUGAUGACAAGGUUUGUGCCCCUGGAUCCAGCCAUGCCUGAAGCUAGUAUAUCCCCUGGACUUUUCAGUUAUGUGAACCAAUAAAUACCCCUCUUUGCUUU
This is a long non-coding RNA of Aethalodelphis obliquidens (Pacific white-sided dolphin), 12006 nucleotides long. RefSeq lists it as uncharacterized. The record is from RefSeq and is a predicted model, not a curated record. NCBI's taxonomy places the organism in Eukaryota, Metazoa, Chordata, Mammalia, Artiodactyla, Delphinidae. The transcript has 4 exons.